Long non-coding RNA from Oncorhynchus keta (chum salmon), 557 nucleotides. RefSeq lists it as uncharacterized. The transcript is spliced from 3 exons. NCBI's taxonomy places the organism in Eukaryota, Metazoa, Chordata, Actinopteri, Salmoniformes, Salmonidae. The record is from RefSeq and is a predicted model, not a curated record.
GGAGAGAGAACAGGGUCAGGGGUUAAUGCUACAGGGAGGAGAGAGAACAGGGUCAGGGGUCAGGUAGUAAUGCUAGAGGGAGGAGAGAGAACAGGGUCAGGGGUCAGGUAGUAAUGUUAGAGGGAGGAGAGAGAACAGGGUCAGGGGGUAAUGCUACAGGGAGGAGAGAGAACAGGGUCAGGGGUCAGGUAGUAAUGCUAGAGGGAGGAGAGAGAACAGGGUCAGGGGUCAGCUAGUAAUGCUAGAGGGAGGAGAGAGAACAGGGUCAGGGGUCAGGUGGUAAUGCUACAGGGAGGAGAGAGAACAGGGUCAGGGGGUAAUGCUACAGGGAGGAGAGAGAACAGGGUCAGGGGUCAGGUAGUAAUGCUAGAGGGAGGAGAGAGAACAGGGUCAGGGGUCAGGUAGUAAUGCUAGAGGGAGGAGAGAGAACAGGGUCAGGGGUCAGGUAGUAAUGUUAGAGGGAGGAGAGAGAACAGGGUCAGGGGGUAAUGCUACAGGGAGGAGAGAGAACAGGGUCAGGGGUCAGGUAGUAAUGCUAGAGGGAGGAGAGAGAACAG